Non-coding RNA from Python bivittatus (Burmese python), 2722 nucleotides. The record is from RefSeq and is a predicted model, not a curated record. Lineage: Eukaryota; Metazoa; Chordata; Lepidosauria; Squamata; Pythonidae.
CCCCGGCGUCCCUUCUCGCCCGGACUUCCCGGCGGGCGGGCGGGCACCCUUGCCCGGGUCGCCGGAGCCUGGCUGCAGCCUGAUCGGUGUUCACUUUGUGCAAAAGUCCGUUUUUAAAUGAAUAACGAUGGAGUUCAAGUAUCAGCGACUAGUGAAUCCAGGUGCGUGUGGAGCCAGUUUGGGGCAGGAGGAAAAGUCUCAUCCUAGAAAGCAAGUUGGAGUCCUGCCUUGGCACGGAGCCAGUUGGUGUUUGGGAUUUUUCAAGAUUGCUCCCAAGCAGCCUCACAACUCUUGACUUUUGGAGGAGGUUCAGAGGUGCACUGGCAGAAGCGAUGCCUGGAGUGUGGAUGGCAGAAGACAAAGAAUGACCAGUCACAGCUGAUGUCAGGCAGAAGAUUGCCCAAGGAGCUGACUCAAGAAAUGAAAAUAUGAUACAAUUUACUGACCACAAACCAGCAGAAUGCUCCAGAUGACCUGGGAGUUCUAAAUGUGAAAUUGCUUCUAAAAAAAUAUGUAACACAUUACUAAGAUCAGCCAGAGUAUCAAAAUAUUGGGAAACAUCCUGCCAGUUUGAACAAAAAGGCAGUCCAAUGAAUUGCAGGCUAAUUCUGGGUACAUUUGAAAUUAGGAAUGACUCUAUAGACAUGAACUUAAUUUUUUUUUUCAAGUUACUCAUCAAAAGACUGCUGGACAUCAGCCAAAGAAAUCAAAAUCAUGAAUUGCUCUUUAAGCAAGAACUCCAGGAAAGGCACACUCAUUCCAGCCAGACUGCAUGGAAAUGCCAGCCCCUUCCUCCCCACUUCUUUCCAGCCCAAAGAAUGAACCUGCUUCCUCUCCCGGGGCUGAUUCUUGCAGGCCGAAACGGUGCAUCCUGGGGCAACCAUUUUUGAAGCCAGGUGCCUGAAAUGGGCUCACUUAAAAAAUGCGCCCAAAAUCCAUGAUUCCCGGGGGAUUGAAAUUUGGCAAAGUUGUGGCCGCUUCAGCACCACCGCACUGCCGUGGUCAAUCACAGUUAUGUGAUUGUCCUUUCUGAUGCUCCCGGCCUGCUUCCCACAAGUCAAUAGGGAAGCUGGCAGGAAGUCUGAACUCUUCUGAAGUGAUGACCACACUGUACAGCAUUGUGGUAAAAAAAUUUAAAAAGUAAAAAUAAGAAAAAUACAAAUAAAAAUUUAAAAAGAUAUUUUCAGCUUAAUUGUACCAUGUGGAAAGAGGGGGACAUCGUGGUCAACAGAUUACACCAAACAUUGUCAGGAAGCGGCAAGGAAGAAGGGAGAACAAGAAACGGGUGAAGCCAGGGCCGCACAACCCCAGGAUCAAAGAGUCAGGACCAAGAGUCAUGAGAAAGAAGAGAGAGGCACGUCUCCAAAAUGACAAGAGGCACAGAAGAGAAAUGCAUGUCUCCAAGAUCAGAGACAACAAAUAGCAAAAGUUAUGAACAAAUGGAGGAUGAAAGGGCACGGCAUAAUAUUUCUGCUGAUGUUGGUGUGAUGGCCAAAGUCUGCCGUCCUGUCAUGCUUUCCUGUUCCUGUUCCCUAGAGAAACCGCCAAUUUCUGCUGUAUGAAGGGAAAGGUCAGGAUAGAUAAUUUGCAACCUCUGCAUUAAGGCACGCUAAAUGCAAGCUGCUUAAAGUACCGUACAUCGAUGAUUUGCCACUGGCCCAUCCGAUAAUGAACUCAAUUUAUAAAGCAAUGAUGAACCUAUUGCAAACAAGUUCAGGAAGAACAUCAGACCGUACAACUCCCUCUUCCAAAUGACAUCCUUUGGUGCCAAAGGAGUCCUUCCAACAAGGAAUGGGUGGAAUCCUGUGAUUAUUCAAGGGCAAAUCCAUCAAGGCUUUAAUCUUCCAAGGCAUGCAGUGGAAUGCGGAUGAUCGUGGAAGAACUUCACAAGAAUCUCAUUGUAGCAAAGAUAAACAUUUGUCCAUUCAAAAAAUGAUAUCGUCAUGAUUCCAGGAGUUACACUCAAUUUUUCAGAAGGUGAAGAUGCCCCUCUUCAGUUCCUAAUGGCAUAAAGCACAAAUCGUGGAGAAUAUGCUGAUUCAGCUGGAGAAACCAGUAUUCCAGCACGGUCACCAGCUGCAGGAAUUUUACAUUGGUUCAGACCUUGAACAACAUGUUCUGUACAGGUACGUGACCCUGGUGUGUGAAGGAGCUGAAUGUGGACUUAGCAAGAAAUCCACAUAUUUGUCAUAGCCUAGCGGCAAACAGAACCUAUGACCCAUUGAUGAACAGAGAUUUUACUGCGACUGACAACAGGUAUCGGGGAAUUGGUCUAAGUGAUUCAAAAGUACACACAAACAAAACAUAACCUGAAUUUUCUUUGCUUGUUUCCAAGACACUGGUUUUCUGGCAUAUUGUCUCAUUGGCCCUUUUGCUGGGUUUGAAUGAGAAAUGGGGCAGUUCUUUAUGCAGAAGGACUGUGCCCCUGAACCACCCCAGAAAUAAACUAAUGUUAUUGCCAACAUCCGCUCCUGUAAUGCCUUUAGAGAUUCCACCAAGAGGGAUGCCACCAGCAGCCAAUUCUCCCAUUCGGUACGCAGACGCAGCUCUUGCCAACCAAACUUGAUCAAAGUUCUCCCAGGCCUCUGGCACAGUUUGACUGAGGAGAACAACACACACAGGAGAGAUCCAAGUGUGCGGCAAAAGGAAAGAGGGUGGAAGGGAGAAGGAAAAAACAGACUCAGGUACUAGUUUAUUUCCAGGAACCAUCACUUCCAGUUCU